UACCUGGUUGAUCCUGCCAGUAAUCAUAUGCUUGUCUCAAAGAUUAAGCCAUGCAUGUCUAAGUACAUGCCGAAAUAAGGCGAAACCGCGAAUGGCUCAUUAAAUCAGUUAUGGUUCCUUAGAUCGUUUCUUCCUACUUGGAUAACUGUGGCAAUUCUAGAGCUAAUACAUGCAGUGAGCCUGAAGCCCUUUGGGCGACGGGUGCUUUUAUUAGACCAAGAUCGAUCGGGUUUCGGCCCGUAUUGUGUGGUGACUCUGGAUAACUUUGUGCUGAUCGCAUGGCCACGAGCCGCGACGUUUCUUUCAAGUGUCUGCCUUAUCAACUUUCGAUGGUAGGUUACUUGCUUACCAUGGUUGUACGGGUAACGGAGAAUCAGGGUUCGAUUCCGGAGAGGGAGCCUGAGAAACGGCUACCACAUCCAAGGAAGGCAGCAGGCGCGCAAAUUACCCACUCCCGGCACGGGGAGGUAGUGACGAAAAAUAACAAUACGGGACUCUUUUGAGGCCCCGUAAUUGAAAUGAGUACACUCUAAAUCCUUUAACGAGGAUCAAUUGGAGGGCAAGUCUGGUGCCAGCAGCCGCGGUAAUUCCAGCUCCAAUAGCGUAUACUAAAGCUGCUGCGGUUAAAAAGCUCGUAGUUGGAUCUCAGUUCCAGACGAGUAGUGCAUCUACCCGAUGCGACGGCUCGGACUGAACAUCAUGCCGGUCCUUUCUUGGUGCACUUCAUUGUGUGCCUCGAGAAGGCCGGUGCUUUUACUUUGAAAAAAUUAGAGUGCUCAACGCAGGCGAGUCGCCUGAAUAAACUUGCAUGGAAUAAUAGAACAAGACCUCGUUUCUGUUCUGUUGGUUUUUGGAAUACGAGGUAAUGAUUAAGAGGGACAGACGGGGGCAUUCGUAUUGCGGCGCUAGAGGUGAAAUUCUUGGACCGUCGCAAGACGAACUACUGCGAAAGCAUUUGCCAAGAAUGUUUUCUUUGAUCAAGAACGAAAGUCAGAGGUUCGAAGGCGAUCAGAUACCGCCCUAGUUCUGACCAUAAACGAUGCCAACCAGCGAUCCGCCUGAGUUACUCAAAUGACUCGGCGGGCAGCUUCCGGGAAACCAAAGUGUUUGGGUUCCGGGGGAAGUAUGGUUGCAAAGCUGAAACUUAAAGGAAUUGACGGAAGGGCACCACCAGGAGUGGAGCCUGCGGCUUAAUUUGACUCAACACGGGAAAACUUACCCGGCCCGGACACUGGGAGGAUUGACAGAUUGAGAGCUCUUUCUUGAUUCGGUGGAUGGUGGUGCAUGGCCGUUCUUAGUUGGUGGAGCGAUUUGUCUGGUUAAUUCCGAUAACGAACGAGACUCUAGCCUAUUAAAUAGGUGCGGGGUUCCCAGCACCUUACAACCUUCUUAGAGGGACAAGCGGCUCCUAGCCGCACGAAACAGAGCAAUAACAGGUCUGUGAUGCCCUUAGAUGUCCGGGGCCGCACGCGCGCUACACUGAAGGAAGCAGCGUGUCUUUAUCCCUGUCUGAAAAGACUGGGUAACCCGUGGAACUUCUUUCGUGAUUGGGAUAGGGGCUUGCAAUUGUUCCCCUUGAACGAGGAAUUCCCAGUAAGCGCGAGUCAUAAGCUCGCGUUGAUUACGUCCCUGCCCUUUGUACACACCGCCCGUCGCUACUACCGAUUGAAUGAUUUAGUGAGGUCUUCGGACCGAUGUCCGGCGCGGCCUUUCGGUUGCGCCGGUCUGUUGGAAAGAUGACCAAACUUGAUCAUUUAGAGGAAGUAAAAGUCGUAACAAGGUUUCCGUAGGUGAACCUGCGGAAGGAUCAUUA
Molecule: ribosomal RNA, 1813 nt
Filed under: Dermacentor andersoni
Lineage: Eukaryota; Metazoa; Arthropoda; Arachnida; Ixodida; Ixodidae
Description: small subunit ribosomal RNA
Rfam family: Eukaryotic small subunit ribosomal RNA
Source: RNAcentral